GUGCUCAUUUUUGCAGGACAUAUACUAAAAUUAGAAUGAUACUGUGAAUAUUAGCAUGGUCCAUGUGCAAGGAUGACAUGAAAAUUAAUGAAGCAUUCCAUAUAUUU
Molecule: small nuclear RNA, 107 nt
Organism: Mus spicilegus (steppe mouse)
Lineage: Eukaryota; Metazoa; Chordata; Mammalia; Rodentia; Muridae
Source: Ensembl